CCUACGGGAGGCUGCAGUCGAGAAUCAUUCACAAUGGGGGAAACCCUGAUGGUGCGACGCCGCGUGGGGGAAUGAAGGUCUUCGGAUUGUAAACCCCUGUCAUGUGGGAGCAAAUUAAAAAGAUAGUACCACAAGAGGAAGAGACGGCUAACUCUGUGCCAGCAGCCGCGGUAAUACAGAGGUCUCAAGCGUUGUUCGGAAUCACUGGGCGUAAAGCGUGCGUAGGCUGUUUAGUAAGUCGUGUGUGAAAUGCGCGGGCUCAACCCGCGGACGGCACAUGAUACUGCGAGACUAGAGUGAUGGAGGGGGAAGCGGAAUUCUCGGUGUAGCAGUGAAAUGCGUAGAUAUCGAGAGGAACACUCGUGGCGAAGGCGGGUUCCUGGACAUUAACUGACGCUGAGGCACGAAGGCCAGGGGAGCGAAAGGGAUUAGAUACCCCUGUAGUC
Molecule: ribosomal RNA, 446 nt
Filed under: uncultured bacterium
Lineage: Bacteria
Description: partial 16S ribosomal RNA
Rfam family: Bacterial small subunit ribosomal RNA
Source: RNAcentral